This 495-nucleotide ribosomal RNA is filed under the name uncultured bacterium. RNAcentral's name for it is "partial 16S ribosomal RNA". It matches the Rfam family "Bacterial small subunit ribosomal RNA", at positions 28 to 507 of the family's 1533-position model. The record is from RNAcentral.
GACGAACGCUGGCGGCGUGCCUAAUACAUGCAAGUAGAACGCUGAAGGAGGAGCUUGCUUCUCUGGAUGAGUUGCGAACGGGUGAGUAACGCGUAGGUAACCUGCCUGGUAGCGGGGGAUAACUAUUGGAAACGAUAGCUAAUACCGCAUAAGAGUAGAUGGUGCAUGACAUUUGCUUAAAAGGUGCAAUUGCAUCACUACCAGAUGGACCUGCGUUUUAUUAGCUAGUUGGUGGGGUAACGGCUCACCAAGGCGACGGUACAUAGCCGACCUGGGUGGGUGUCCAGAGACCCUGGGACUGUCUCUCGGCCCAGUCUCCUUCCGGGGGCAGCAGACGAGGAUCUUUCGCGAUGGACGGAAGUUUCAGCGUGCAACGCCGAGUGAGUGACGAAAGUUUUCGGAUCGUAGAGCUCUGUUGUAAGAGAAGAUCGAGUGUGAGAGUGGAAAGUACACACUGUGACGGUAUCUUAACAGAACGGUACGGCUAACUACGUG